This 369-nucleotide long non-coding RNA is filed under the name Lupinus angustifolius (narrow-leaved blue lupine). Its description in RNAcentral is "long non-coding RNA (LANG_LNC003745)". Lineage: Eukaryota; Viridiplantae; Streptophyta; Magnoliopsida; Fabales; Fabaceae. The record is from RNAcentral.
CCUAAUUGUGUGCCAUUCAAAACCUGUUUCACCAAAUCAACAUCCAAGCAUGGUUUACCAAUCUCUGAAUUAUUACAUCAAAAUCAGACGUGACAAAAUUUAAUAGAUAAUACUUCAAAAUAAUAAGAAACCAUUGAUCUCUACAUUCCAGUUGUAACAUGAAUUUUUGCUAGCCACCAGAUAAUUUCGUGUAGCACAUAUCCCCAACAAAACAAACACACACAUACAAAGUAAAAUGGAACAUCUAAAUCGGUUUUUUCAUUUACAAAUCAAGUGUGUGCCAUAAAUUUGUGUCUAUGGCAAUCUAUGCAGCCCUAGCUUGUGCUCAGCCUGAUUUCAAUCUAAAAUCAGCAUGGCAUUAGAACAUGG